Molecule: ribosomal RNA, 465 nt
Filed under: uncultured bacterium
Lineage: Bacteria
Description: partial 16S ribosomal RNA
Rfam family: Bacterial small subunit ribosomal RNA
Source: RNAcentral
GACGAACGCUGGCGGCGUGCUUAACACAUGCAAGUCGUACGGUAAGGCCCUUUCGGGGGUACACGAGUGGCGAACGGGUGAGUAACACGUGAGUAACCUGCCCACAACUUUGGGAUAACGCUAGGAAACUGGUGCUAAUACUGGAUAUGUGCUCCUGCUGCAUGGUGGGGGUUGGAAAGCUCCGGCGGUUGUGGAUGGACUCGCGGCCUAUCAGCUUGUUGGUGGGGUAGUGGCCUACCAAGGCGGCGACGGGUAGCCGGCCUGAGAGGGUGACCGGCCACAUUGGGACUGAGAUACGGCCCAGACUCCUACGGGAGGCAGCAGUGGGGAAUAUUGCACAAGGGGCGCAAGCCUGAUGCAGCAACGCCGCGGGCGGGAUGACGGCCUUCGGGUUGUAAAACGCUUUCAGCAGGGACGAAGCUUUUUGUGACGGUACCUGCAGAAGAAGCACCGGCUAACUACGUG